UGGGGAAUAUUGCGCAAUGGGCGAAAGCCUGACGCAGCGACGCCGCGUGAGGGAAGAAGGCCUUCGGGUCGUAAACCUCUGUCUAGAGGGAAGAAACCAUUGAGGUCGAACAGGCCUCUUUGCUGACGGUACCUCUGAAGGAAGCACCGGCUAACUCCGUGCCAGCAGCCGCGGUAAUACGGAGGGUGCGAGCGUUAAUCGGACUCACUGGGCGUAAAGCGCACGUAGGCGGUGUCGUAAGUCGGAUGUGAAAGCCCUCGGCUCAACCGGGGAACUGCAUUCGAUACUGCGACGCUUGAGUGCCGGAGAGGGGGGCGGAAUUCCAGGUGUAGGAGUGAAAUCCGUAGAUAUCUGGAGGAACACCAGUGGCGAAGGCGGCCACCUGGCCGGCAACUGACGCUGAGGGACGAAAGCGUGGGGAUCAAACA
This 428-nucleotide ribosomal RNA is filed under the name uncultured prokaryote. RNAcentral describes it as "bacterial SSU rRNA". It matches the Rfam family "Bacterial small subunit ribosomal RNA", at positions 355 to 774 of the family's 1533-position model. The record is from RNAcentral.